CUGCCCUGCACUUUGGGAUAAGCCUGGGAAACUGGGUCUAAUACCGAAUAUGACCGCGCACUUCCUGGUGUGUGGUGGAAAGCUUUUGCGGUGUGGGAUGGGCCCGCGGCCUAUCAGCUUGUUGGUGGGGUAAUGGCCUACCAAGGCGACGACGGGUAGCCGGCCUGAGAGGGUGACCGGCCACACUGGGACUGAGAUACGGCCCAGACUCCUACGGGAGGCAGCAGUGGGGAAUAUUGCACAAUGGGCGCAAGCCUGAUGCAGCGACGCCGCGUGAGGGAUGACGGCCUUCGGGUUGUAAACCUCUUUCAAUAGGGACGAAGCGCAAGUGACGGUACCUAUAGAAGAAGGACCGGCCAACUACGUGCCAGCAGCCGCGGUAAUACGUAGGGUCCGAGCGUUGUCCGGAAUUACUGGGCGUAAAGAGCUCGUAGGUGGUUUGUCGCGUUGUUCGUGAAAACUCACAGCUUAACUGUGGGCGUGCGGGCGAUACGGGCAGACUAGAGUACUGCAGGGGAGACUGGAAUUCCUGGUGUAGCGGUGGAAUGCGCAGAUAUCAGGAGGAACACCGGUGGCGAAGGCGGGUCUCUGGGCAGUAACUGACGCUGAGGAGCGAAAGCGUGGGGAGCGAACAGGAUUAGAUACCCUGGUAGUCCACGCCGUAAACGGUGGGUACUAGGUGUGGGUUUCCUUCCUUGGGAUCCGUGCCGUAGCUAACGCAUUAAGUACCCCGCCUGGGGAGUACGGCCGCAAGGCUAAAACUCAAAGAAAUUGACGGGGGCCCGCACAAGCGGCGGAGCAUGUGGAUUAAUUCGAUGCAACGCGAAGAACCUUACCUGGGUUUGACAUGCACAGGACGCCAGUAGAGAUAUUGGUUCCCUUGUGGCCUGUGUGCAGGUGGUGCAUGGCUGUCGUCAGCUCGUGU
RNAcentral lists this ribosomal RNA (925 nucleotides) under Mycolicibacterium sp. Its description in RNAcentral is "bacterial SSU rRNA". It matches the Rfam family "Bacterial small subunit ribosomal RNA", at positions 126 to 1065 of the family's 1533-position model. Lineage: Bacteria; Bacillati; Actinomycetota; Actinomycetes; Mycobacteriales; Mycobacteriaceae. The record is from RNAcentral.